RNAcentral lists this long non-coding RNA (3017 nucleotides) under Sus scrofa (pig). Its description in RNAcentral is "lncRNA (ENSSSCG00045004595.1)". Lineage: Eukaryota; Metazoa; Chordata; Mammalia; Artiodactyla; Suidae. The record is from RNAcentral.
UUUUUUCUUUUUUUUUUUUCGAGAUAAGUAUGGUAAAGAAGGAGGAGGAGGAGCAGAAGGGGCAGGAAGGAAAGGAGGAAGAGACGAACUUCAUUGCCUACUAUGGGCAGUUGGGUAUGAGAUAGCUCUGAGGGAGUUUCAUACAGUGUGGAAGUCGGUAAAUGUUUUCUUGUAAGUCCAAGAGCAGAUUAUAUAGGGUACAGCAAGCUGAUGAACCUUGUUAUUGGUUUUGAAUAGGGCAAAGAGAAUACAGUCACUGGUAACCUGUGGGAUCAGAAAAUGCCUGCUUUCUUACCCCUGCCUAUUGUUCAUUCUCCUCUGCAUAUAACUAAUGGAUUGUUCUCCUUUUUAUGACCUAAAAAACCUACCAUGCCAAUUUUUGUGUACAUCUGGAACAAGGGUUAUAUAAAUAUUAUUAUGACUAGGAAUAAAUUGCUCAAUAAUAGAUGAAUAAAAAUACCAAAAUAGGAUUGAUUCAACCUUUAACUUUUUUUUAAGUCUCUAAUGUGACUUUUCAUGGCAUCUAGUCCCAUCCUAGUUGUCAUAACUUUGACAAAUCUGCACGUGAGGACUAUGAAAAGAGGUGAGUUGUUAUUACAUGUGAACAAGUAUCCGACUAUCUAUGCAAAGGUUUACAGAAUCACCCACCCAUGGUAAUUUUCCAUCCUUCAACAAUUUUAAAAGCAAUUCAUAGGGAAAAAUGGAGGUCACCUAAUAUGUGGGAGACAUUAUGACUAUAUAAGAAAAUGUUCCAUUAACUUGGAUUAGGGACUACACCUUUUAAAAUCAUUGAUCCAUAAUAAAAAAAAAAAUCACACUUGCAUAAACAUUAUCCCUCAAAACUCAAACAGUGAAAUCAGAAAAUAAUUUAAAACUUUUUCAUUCAAUAUUAAGCCUAAAUCUCAAUUUUAAAGUAACUUCUUAAAAUAUUAUCAGAAACUAAUUUUUACACUGUUUCAGUUCCAUUGGUUGUUUAUAAAGUUUCAUACCUCAUUGGAAAAAUGCAUUUUUAUUUUAAAAAUUAUGUAUUUUAAAAUUUUAAAAUAAUUUUAAAAUAAUUUUAAAAUUAUGUAUUUUAUGUAUUAUGUAUUAUGUAUUAUGUAUUUUAAAAUUAUGUAUUUUAAAAAUUAUGUAUUUUUACUCAUCUGUUACAAUAUAUUUGUAAAGUAAUUUUUUAUGCUGUUAUUUAUAAUUAAUGAAAAAUAGGAAAUAAGUGAAGAGGUACAGAAGAAUAGAGAAAUAAAUUACUACAUAAAUCUAUAAAUGAAAUAUCAUAGGUUUCAACAAAAUUAUAUCUGGGAGUUGGGGGUUAUUGUUUUUCUGCAUUUGCCAAGUUGUCUGUAGUCACAAAAAUUAUAAAAUGAUAAAUGACUUUCUUAUAAACACAUUUAUACAUUUAUAAACAUAUUUGUUAUAUUAUUAUGUUAAUCAUUUUACUCAUUCUAAGGGAUUUUGACAACUACAUAAAGUUCAUGUGAGGUGAAGAUAUUAUAUGGAUAGAAUACAUUUAUAAUCAAUUAUAAUAGUUCUAAGAUACACACUAUUAUUUGUAAGAAAAUAGUGAAAAAUUGAAAAAAAUUAGCAUAGUAUCAAGAUAGUUAUAAUUUUUAUUCACAAACUGUUUCUUCUGCAGAGUUAAUGUUUCAAAAUCAUAACAUUUUUGAACUGUAUGAAGUGGUAAGAUUUUCAUUUAACAAAGCCAUAAUGAACUUCUCUAAGUUAAUCAAAAAAUAUUUCUUAAAUUAUAACCAUUCAGGAGUUCCUGAACUCAUGUGUAAGGCUCAGAAAUGGUAGAUGUUUCUAGGACAUAGUUUAAAAAAAAUGAAACUGGUAAUUGAGAUUGUGUAGACAGAUUCAAAAUCAUAUCUGGAAAAUUAAUUUUCCUGACCUAAGAAUUAAAUAUAUAUAUUUUAACAGAAUCCAGUACCUUUCUAAAGCAUUUAACUUGUCCCAUUAUAGGACACUAAGCCAAACAGUCCUCCAGGGGAGAUUGCUUUAUGCCUCUACAUGGAAUCAAGUUAAUAAUUUACUCCUUUUUGUUAGCUCCACAGGCAUGAUCCCAUGUAGACAGAUGUGUAAUAUGUUUUUGUAGACAGAUGUGUAAUAUGUUUUAUCCAAUUUUCCAAAGAUGCAAUGUUCUACUUUCCAUACUAAAUAUUACUGUAUAAUUUCCCUACACAAAUUACUUUAGAGAGUAUUAUUUCCAAGUUUAAAAAGUACAAUUAUUUUGCAAAUUAUAUAAUGAAAUUUUUCAACCUUUUAAAAUAAUUAUUUUACAUAGACCUCUAUUAUUCAUAUAAUGUACCACCUUUAGGAAAAAUACGUCAGGAACAAAAUAAUUUACAGCUUCUAUUAACUUUUUCUUGGCCUUUGUUCUGUAGAUGGUAGCCAAUAAUAUGAUAAAUAAAAUGUGAAACACAAAAAGGAAAAUGAAAAAUUAUUUAAAAAGCAGAUAUAUAUUUUUCACUAUUGUGGGGUGGUAUUAAUGCCUAAUAAAAAUAAAUUUAAAAACCAUAGAAAUUACAAUUAAUUAUCCACAGAGCCACUCUACAAAAAGGGAAUGACCAGUAAACAAGAAUACUCUUCUAUAUGAGGAAUAGCCAGUUGGAAAAUAAUGUAAUAAAACACAUGGUAAGAAAAAUAUAAAAACGAGCCAAGAAACUUAUAGAAAUUAUACAAAAAUUCAAAUAUGUAUUAGAAAUAUAAGAUAAAAUUAGAAUAAGAAAAAAUGAUAUAGUUACAUGGAGAAAGAAUUGAUAUUCUAAAGAUGGCAAUUAUUUAUAAACAUAAUGGUAAGUCUCUUGAGAACUCCAAAUGGAUUGGGUAUGAUAAGGGACCAGUUUGAAUAAAGAAAAAGGAAACUUGAUAAAGAUUCUACAUUUAAUCUGGAAAAAUAAAACAGACAAAAUUGUUAAGAAAAUAUUUAAAAACAGUGACCAGUGGAAGAUUAUUUGCAAAUAUGGUUGCAAUAAUUCCUUCUAUUCUCAUAUGCAUUUUGCCUUAUGACUUUGCCAGUU